Molecule: long non-coding RNA, 228 nt
Filed under: Populus trichocarpa (black cottonwood)
Lineage: Eukaryota; Viridiplantae; Streptophyta; Magnoliopsida; Malpighiales; Salicaceae
Description: long non-coding RNA (PTRI_LNC002898)
Source: RNAcentral
AAAUAAAAAAUAACAACAAAAAUUCCAUAAAUAAUGCAAAAAUUAUUUCAAUAACAACUGAAGUUUAACACAACUAUUAAUUCAUAAAAAUUACUAAGAACAAAAAAUUGAACAAAAGUAAUGACCUAAAAAAAUAAUGCAAAAGAAAAAACACAAAUAAAGAAGAAAAAGGAAUGAAAAAUUCUUACUUUUAUAACAUGCUUAGUUUCGGCUGAGAAUUAAAAAAAA